UCGGUCUUCUCCCUCCGCAGCUGCGCCACCAGGUCCAGUGCCCCCUCCAGCUUCAUGUCCAGCACGCGGAUCUGCUCGGUCAGUGCAGCCACCUGCUGCAUCAGCUGCAGCUUCUGACUCGACACGGCCGCGAGCUGCUGCUGCAACGUUUGGAUGAGCUUCGCAGAGCCGUCGUCAGCCUGGUCGUAUGUGCACAUGUAUGUACAUAUGUAUGUACGUAUGUGUGUAAGUGGGCGUUGUGAUUGUGUUGGGGAAGGAGAUUAACAAGUGCCAGUGCGAGUGCUUGUGGGGGCCCGGGGUGUUGAGGAGGGUUAUCCUGGGGCCACCUUGCUUCAAACCCCUCCAGCUGCUGUCGCCAUUACCGCCACGACAUGCAACACACGAAGACAGCCACAAACCUUCUCCCCCCCUAUCCGCACCCGCACCCGCACCCCCUUCUCCCCCCACACCCACACCCGCACCCCCUUCUCCCCCCACACCCGCACCCGCACCCCCACCUGCAACUCCGCAUGUUUAACGGACGGCAGUUUGAAUGCGCACUCCGCAAGGUCCAGAGCCUCCGCCGCCUCCCGGAGCUGACCC
This 582-nucleotide long non-coding RNA is filed under the name Volvox carteri. Its description in RNAcentral is "long non-coding RNA (VCAR_LNC003462)". The record is from RNAcentral. Lineage: Eukaryota; Viridiplantae; Chlorophyta; Chlorophyceae; Chlamydomonadales; Volvocaceae.